UGGGGAAUUUUGGACAAUGGGCGCAAGCCUGAUCCAGCCAUGCCGCGUGCGGGAAGAAGGCCUUCGGGUUGUAAACCGCUUUGUCAGGGAAGAAAUCUUCUGAGUUAAUACCUCGGGAGGAUGACGGUACCUGAAGAAUAAGCACCGGCUAACUACGUGCCAGCAGCCGCGGUAAUACGUAGGGUGCAAGCGUUAAUCGGAAUUACUGGGCGUAAAGCGUGCGCAGGCGGUUUUGUAAGACAGAGGUGAAAUCCCCGGGCUCAACCUGGGAACUGCCUUUGUGACUGCAAGGCUUGAGCGCGGCAGAGGGGGAUGGAAUUCCGCGUGUAGCAGUGAAAUGCGUAGAUAUGCGGAGGAACACCGAUGGCGAAGGCAAUCCCCUGGGCCUGCACUGACGCUCAUGCACGAAAGCGUGGGGAGCAAACAGGAUUAGAUAGCCCUGGUAGUCCACGCCCUAAAACGAUGUCAACUGGUUGUUGGGAAGGUUCCUUCUCAGUAACGUAGCUAACGCGUG
Molecule: ribosomal RNA, 514 nt
Filed under: uncultured bacterium
Lineage: Bacteria
Description: partial 16S ribosomal RNA
Rfam family: Bacterial small subunit ribosomal RNA
Source: RNAcentral